AUACGGAGGGUGCAAGCGUUAAUCGGAAUUACUGGGCGUAAAGCGUACGUAGGCGGUCCGUUACGUUAGAUGUGAAAGCCCCGGGCUUAACCUGGGAACUGCAUUUAAAACUGGCGGACUAGAGUUGAGUAGAGGGGAGUGGAAUUUCAGGUGUAGCGGUGAAAUGCGUAGAGAUCUGAAGGAACACCAGUGGCGAAGGCGACUCCCUGGACUCGAACUGACGCUGAGGUACGAAAGCGUGGGUAGCAAACGGGAUUAGAUACCCUAGUAGUCC
This 274-nucleotide ribosomal RNA is filed under the name uncultured bacterium. RNAcentral describes it as "partial 16S ribosomal RNA". It matches the Rfam family "Bacterial small subunit ribosomal RNA", at positions 523 to 796 of the family's 1533-position model. The record is from RNAcentral.